AAUAGAUACCCCGGUAGUCCACGCCGUAAACGAUGAAUACUAGGUGUAGGAGGUAUCGACCCCUUCUGUGCCGCAGUUAACACAAUAAGUAUUCCGCCUGGGGAGUACGAUCGCAAGAUUAAAACUCAAAGGAAUUGACGGGGGCCCGCACAAGCAGCGGAGCAUGUGGUUUAAUUCGAAGCAACGCGAAGAACCUUACCUAGACUUGACAUCUCCUGAAUUACCCUUAACCGGGGAAGCCCUUCGGGGCAGGAAGACAGGUGGUGCAUGGUUGUCGUCAGCUCGUGUCGUGAGAUGUUGGGUUAAGUCCCGCAACGAGCGCAACCCUUAUCAUUAGUUGCUACCAUUAAGUUGAGCACUCUAGUGAGACUGCCACGGUUAACGUGGAGGAAGGUGGGGAUGACGUCAAAUCAUCAUGCCCCUUAUGUCUAGGGCUACACACGUGCUACAAUGGUGAGUACAAAGAGAUGCAAUACCGUGAGGUGGAGCCAAACUCAAAAACUCAUCCCAGUUCGGAUUGUAGGCCGAAACUCGCCUACA
Molecule: ribosomal RNA, 540 nt
Filed under: uncultured bacterium
Lineage: Bacteria
Description: bacterial SSU rRNA
Rfam family: Bacterial small subunit ribosomal RNA
Source: RNAcentral